GUAGUCAUAUGCUUGUCUCAAAGAUUAAGCCAUGCAUGUCUAAGUAUAAGCAAUUAUACCGUGAAACUGCGAAUGGCUCAUUAAAUCAGUUAUCGUUUAUUUGAUAAUACCUUACUACUUGGAUAACCGUGGUAAUUCUAGAGCUAAUACAUGCUGAAAAUCCCGACUUCGGAAGGGAUGUGUUUAUUAGAUAAAAAACCAAUGCCCUUCGGGGCUUUUUGGUGAUUCAUGAUAACUUUACGGAUCGCAUAGCCUUGCGCUGGCGACGGUUCAUUCAAAUUUCUGCCCUAUCAACUUUCGAUGGUAAGGUAUUGGCUUACCAUGGUUUCAACGGGUAACGGGGAAUA
This 347-nucleotide ribosomal RNA is filed under the name uncultured fungus. RNAcentral's name for it is "SSU rRNA". It matches the Rfam family "Eukaryotic small subunit ribosomal RNA", at positions 20 to 371 of the family's 1831-position model. Lineage: Eukaryota; Fungi. The record is from RNAcentral.